GUCAGAUUUAGACAACCACACUUUGCAUACAUAUCGGUUAUAGCAUUUGAGACAAAGAGAUCAAUGACAGACCCAUUCCUUAUUGACCUGGCAUGUAUCUCCUUUCCUGAACGAAGACAACCAAUUCGUGCACAUGCAGGAAGAACAUUUGUCAGUGUAACAGAUGUUGGAGUUUCAUCGCUAGAUUGCAUCUUCCUGACAAGUCCUAUAGCCUCAAACUCAAGCCCAUUCUGAGCAAAAUUUGCAACCAU
This 251-nucleotide unclassified non-coding RNA is filed under the name Hevea brasiliensis (rubber tree). The record is from RNAcentral. Lineage: Eukaryota; Viridiplantae; Streptophyta; Magnoliopsida; Malpighiales; Euphorbiaceae.